RNAcentral lists this ribosomal RNA (478 nucleotides) under uncultured bacterium. RNAcentral describes it as "partial 16S ribosomal RNA". It matches the Rfam family "Bacterial small subunit ribosomal RNA", at positions 28 to 506 of the family's 1533-position model. The record is from RNAcentral.
GAUGAACGCUAGCGGGAGGCCUAACACAUGCAAGCCGAGCGGUAGAGUUUCUUCGGAAACUUGAGAGCGGCGCACGGGUGCGUAACACGUGUGCAACCUACCUUUAUCUGGGGGAUAGCCUUUCGAAAGGAAGAUUAAUACCCCAUAAUAUAAUGAUUGGCAUCAAUUAUUAUUGAAAACUCCGGUGGAUAGAGAUGGGCACGCGCAAGAGUAGAUAGUUGGUGAGGUAACGGCUCACCAAGUCAAUGAUCUUUAGGGGUCCUGAGAGGGAGAUCCCCCACACUGGUACUGAGACACGGACCAGACUCCUACGGGAGGCAGCAGUGAGGAAUAUUGGACAAUGGGUGAGAGCCUGAUCCAGCCAUCCCGCGCGAAGGAUGACGGUCCUAUGGAUUGUAAACUUCUUUUGUACAGGGAUAAACCUACCCCCGUGAGGGUAGCUGAAGGUACUGUACGAAUAAGCACCGGCUAACUCCGU